RNAcentral lists this ribosomal RNA (445 nucleotides) under uncultured bacterium. Its description in RNAcentral is "partial 16S ribosomal RNA". It matches the Rfam family "Bacterial small subunit ribosomal RNA", at positions 354 to 796 of the family's 1533-position model. The record is from RNAcentral.
GUAAGGAAUAUUGGUCAAUGGACGAAAGUCUGAACCAGCCAUGCCGCGUGAAGGAUGAAGGCCCUCUGGGUUGUAAACUUCUUUUAUCUGGGACGAAAAAAGGGUAUUCUUACUCACUUGACGGUACCAGAGGAAUAAGCACUGGCUAACUCCGUGCCAGCAGCCGCGGUAAUACGGAGGGUGCAAGCGUUAUCCGGAUUCACUGGGUUUAAAGGGUGCGUAGGUGGGUAUUUAAGUCAGUGGUGAAAUCUCCGAGCUUAACUCGGAAACUGCCAUUGAUACUAUUUACCUUGAAUGCCCUGGAGGUAAGCGGAAUAUGUCAUGUAGCGGUGAAAUGCUUAGAUAUGACAUAGAACACCAAUUGCGAAGGCAGCUUACUACGGGGUGAUUGACACUGAGGCACGAAAGCGUGGGGAGCAAACAGGAUUAGAAACCCCUGUAGUCC